GUGGGGAAUUUUGGACAAUGGGCGCAAGCCUGAUCCAGCAAUGCCGCGUGCAGGAAGAAGGCCUUCGGGUUGUAAACUGCUUUUGUACGGAACGAAACGGUCCGGGUUAAUACCCUGGGCUAAUGACGGUACCGUAAGAAUAAGCACCGGCUAACUACGUGCCAGCAGCCGCGGUAAUACGUAGGGUGCAAGCGUUAAUUGGAAUUACUGGGCGUAAAGCGUGCGCAGGCGGUUUUGUAAGACAGGCGUGAAAUCCCCGGGCUCAACCUGGGAAUUGCGCUUGUGACUGCAAGGCUGGAGUGCGGCAGAGGGGGAUGGAAUUCCGCGUGUAGCAGUGAAAUGCGUAGAUAUGCGGAGGAACACCGAUGGCGAAGGCAAUCCCCUGGGCCUGCACUGACGCUCAUGCACGAAAGCGUGGGGAUCAAACAGGAUUAGAAACCCCUGUAGUCC
RNAcentral lists this ribosomal RNA (450 nucleotides) under uncultured bacterium. Its description in RNAcentral is "partial 16S ribosomal RNA". It matches the Rfam family "Bacterial small subunit ribosomal RNA", at positions 354 to 796 of the family's 1533-position model. The record is from RNAcentral.